This 468-nucleotide ribosomal RNA is filed under the name uncultured bacterium. Its description in RNAcentral is "partial 16S ribosomal RNA". It matches the Rfam family "Bacterial small subunit ribosomal RNA", at positions 28 to 507 of the family's 1533-position model. The record is from RNAcentral.
GACGAACGCUGGCGGCGUGCUUAAUACAUGCAAGUCGAACGGAAAGGCCCUGCUUUUGUGGGUUGCUCGAGUGGCGAACGGGUGUGUAACACGUGAGUAUCCUGUCCUUGUCUUUGGGAUAACUUCAGGAAACUGGGGCUAAUACCGGAUAGGAUCUCCUGCUGCAUGGUGGGGGAUGGAGAGUUUCGGCUGUUGGGGAUGGUCUCGCGGCUUAUCCGCUUGUUUGUGAGGUUGGGGCUUACCAAGGCUUUGACGGGUAGCCGGCCUGAGAGGUUGAACGGCCACAUUGGUACUGCGAGACGGCCCAGUCGCCUACGGGAGGCAGCAGUGGGGAAUAUUGCAGAAUGGGCGGAAGCCUGAUGCAGCAACGCCGCGUGCGGGAUGACGGCCUACGGGUGGUAAACCGCUGUCGCCUGAGACGAGGCGUGAGUGACGGUAACGGAUAAAGAAGCACCGGCUAACUACGUG